GAUAAACGCUGGCGGCGUGCCUUAUGCAUGCAAGUCGAACGAGGCUAGGACUUCGGUCCGAAACCUAGUGGCGGACGGGUGAGUAACACGUACGUGACCUGUCCGGAAGUGGGGAAUAACCAGCCGAAAGGUUGGCUAAUACCGCAUAUGGUCACCCCUUGGGUAGGAAACCUCCGGGGCGGAGAGAGGGGCUCGCGACCUAUCAGCUAGUUGGCGGGGUAACGGCUCACCAAGGCGGCGACGGGUAGCUGGUCNGAGAGGAUGGCCAGCCACAUUGGGACUGAGAUACGGCCCAGACUCCUACGGGAGGCAGCAGUGGGGAANAUUGCGCAAUGGCCUAACGGCUGACGCAGCGACGCCGCGUGUGGGAGGACGCCCCUCGGGUGUAAACCACUGUUGCCCGGGACGAACAACCAGUUUUGACUGGUCUGACGGUACCGGGUGAGGAAGCACCGGCUAACUCCGUGCCAGCCGCCGCUGUAAU
RNAcentral lists this ribosomal RNA (484 nucleotides) under uncultured bacterium. Its description in RNAcentral is "bacterial SSU rRNA". It matches the Rfam family "Bacterial small subunit ribosomal RNA", at positions 28 to 524 of the family's 1533-position model. The record is from RNAcentral.